GUCAGUAUGUCUGGGUGUGUGUGGUUCAUAUGUAUGUGUGUUUCAAUAUAACUGUGAGUGUCAAAAUGUCUGUGUGUGUAUGUCUGUCAGUGUCUGUGUGUAUACGUGUGCCAGAAUGUCUGUCAGUGUGUCAGUAUGUCUAUGUGGGAGUCUGUCAGUGUCCUUGUGGUUCUGUAUGUCUGUGUUUGUCAAUAUGUCUGUCAGUGUCUGUGUGUAUGUGUGUUUUAGUAUGUCUGUCUGUGUAUAUGUGCCAAUAUGUCUGUCAGUGUAUUUGUGCCAGUAUGUCUGUCAGUGUAUUUGUGCCAGUAUGUCUGUCAGUGUGUCAGUAUGUCUGUGUGUGUGUGGUUCAGUAUGUAUG
Pelobates cultripes (western spadefoot toad) is the source of this 358-nucleotide non-coding RNA. Lineage: Eukaryota; Metazoa; Chordata; Amphibia; Anura; Pelobatidae. The record is from the annotation of a GenBank genome assembly.